GACGAACCGUGCGAACGUUGUUCGGAAUCACUGGGCUUAAAGGGCGCGUAGGCGGCCCGCCGCGUCCGGGGUGAAAUCCUCCCGCUCAACGGGAGAACGGCCUCGGAUACGGGCGGGCUGGAGGCGGGUAGGGGCAGGCGGAACUGUGGGUGGAGCGGUGAAAUGCGUUGAGAUCCACAGGAACUCCGGUGGCGAAGGCGGCCUGCUGGACCCGAUCUGACGCUGAGGCGCGAAGGCCAGGGGAGCAAACGGG
RNAcentral lists this ribosomal RNA (253 nucleotides) under uncultured bacterium. RNAcentral describes it as "partial 16S ribosomal RNA". It matches the Rfam family "Bacterial small subunit ribosomal RNA", at positions 524 to 776 of the family's 1533-position model. The record is from RNAcentral.